UCAUGUUGUUUUCAAUCAAAAAAAAUAGGAUUGAUUGCUAUUUCACAAUUAAAUAUGAUUUAAAAAAAAUAACUUGGAAUUAUCUGCCUUCCUUUAUCAUCAAAUGUCUACAAAAGGAGUUCAGAUUCUCUCAUCGCAUCUAUCCAAAUCCAUAGUCUCUUCUGACCUCAAUGUCUUCAUGCAGGAAGGGGACUUCACGAUACUCACUAGAUCCAGGAGUCUCUUCAACUUGGCUGUGUCUCUGAACCUCUUCAGGAAACAGAGUUGAAUAAGCCCUAUGAGACUUCUCUGUGUUCUGAACAUGUCUGGUGUGUUCUCUCUGCUGAUUUACAUCAUUCCAUCCACUAAAUGGAAUAAACCUAUGUGAAUAAAAACUCAGUCUGGCUUUCAAUACCAGAAUAAA
Long non-coding RNA from Hyaena hyaena (striped hyena), 403 nucleotides. RefSeq lists it as uncharacterized. The transcript is spliced from 3 exons. The record is from RefSeq and is a predicted model, not a curated record. NCBI's taxonomy places the organism in Eukaryota, Metazoa, Chordata, Mammalia, Carnivora, Hyaenidae.